CCAGCCUCGGCCAUCCCUCUAUGCCCGAAAACCGGUGAUCUUCUCCGGCACCGGUCAGCACCCCCACCCCCCAACCCUAAGUGGAGUUCGUGAGGGACUGCUUCCUCUCCAGCAUCACCUUCUCGCCUCCGCCGUCGCUGCUGCGGCUCGAUCUAUGCCUCGCCGUCGCCGUCGCGGUCACGACGACGUCGUUGCUGGCUCGGACCCUACUCUCCCUCGCCGCCUCUGGUGCGGCCCGUCGCGGCAUCGCCGCCUGCAUGGCUCCCUCGGGCUGAACAGGCAUCGGGAAGACGAAGAAGUAUCGAGGGAGAUGAAGAGAGAGGUGGGGAUGGAUAAGGAAGGGGUGGGGCCCACGUUUGCAAGCAUGGAAACUAACCCCGCAAGUAGAAAGCGACGGUUUGGUGCUAAAGAGGGAUCUCGUAAUCAUUAGGGCAUCUUCAACAAUGGGUACUACAAUGGUACCAAGAAAAUAUUAGCCAAUGUAGAGAAGGGAUGAGUAUCACAAGCAAAUAGUGGUUACUUGUACAUGUAACCACUCCUACAUGGGUACCAAGAAAAUAAAAAAUAUGACAUGUGGGAAAUUAGUACCAUAAGAGAAAGAUAUGCGACAAUAAAAAACGUAUUAAAAAAAGAAGAGAAAAAAAUUAGUAUCAACCACCAUUGAAGAUGCCCUUAGAGAAACUCCAGCCGUUCCCCCCA
This 699-nucleotide long non-coding RNA is filed under the name Brachypodium distachyon (stiff brome). Its description in RNAcentral is "long non-coding RNA (BDIS_LNC000918)". Lineage: Eukaryota; Viridiplantae; Streptophyta; Magnoliopsida; Poales; Poaceae. The record is from RNAcentral.